CUAAAAUAUAUACUAGUAAGCAAACGGGACAAAUUAUACCGGUGAACCCCUUAAUAAUCUGUGCACGGAGUCCGGACGAAGACGCAGGAUGCGUACAGCCAGGAGAUUGGGUGCUCGUGAAAAGCUGGAAAGAAAACCCCUUGACUCCAAGGUGGGAAGGACCGUUCCAAGUACUCCUCACCACAGAAGCAGCCAUACGAACCGCUGAAAAAGGAUGGACUCAUGCUAGUCGCAUAAAAGGACCGGUAAAACCCCCUCACAGCUGGGAGGUUUGCAGUCUCCCGGGAGAAACCAAAUUAAAGCUGAAAUGAACUAAUAAAUGAUUUGGAUAAUAA
This is a non-coding RNA of Agelaius phoeniceus (red-winged blackbird), 335 nucleotides long. The record is from RefSeq and is a predicted model, not a curated record. Lineage: Eukaryota; Metazoa; Chordata; Aves; Passeriformes; Icteridae.